Non-coding RNA from Ceratotherium simum simum (southern white rhinoceros), 181 nucleotides. The record is from RefSeq and is a predicted model, not a curated record. Lineage: Eukaryota; Metazoa; Chordata; Mammalia; Perissodactyla; Rhinocerotidae.
UCUACUAAUUGCCAAAUCAAAAGAAAAAUUUCAGCCUUCAUCGGUUUGGAAUUUUCUGCUACAUUUGACAGUGUUGAUUACUUUCUCCUUGAAACUCUUCACUACCUUGGUUGCCAUGGCAACCCACUCUCCUAGUUGUUUGUCGCAUCUCUCAGGUCCUUCCUUCUCUCUCCUUUGUCAC